This 241-nucleotide unclassified non-coding RNA is filed under the name Helotiales sp. Its description in RNAcentral is "partial contains 5.8S ribosomal RNA, internal transcribed spacer 2, and large subunit ribosomal RNA". Lineage: Eukaryota; Fungi; Ascomycota; Leotiomycetes; Helotiales. The record is from RNAcentral.
CGCACAUUGCGCCCCUUGGUAUUCCGAGGGGCAUGCCUGUUCGAGCGUCAUUACAACCCUCAAGCUUAGCUUGGUAUUGGACUUCGUCACUUAUCUGACGGGUCUUAAAAUCAGUGGCGGUGUCGUUGAGGCCCUGAGCGUAGUAAAUAUCCUCGCUAUAGGGACCCGGCGGUUACUGGCCAUUAACCCUCAAAUUUCUAAGUUUGACCUCGGAUCAGGUAGGGAUACCCGCUGAACUUAA